UAGUUUUCGUCUCACCGUCACCUUGCCUCCGAUUGCCAUUGUUAUGCUGGAGAAAAUUUCUAUAUUUGAUGAUUUCUUGGCAGCCCAAAAGUCUUCGUCGGAAAACAUGAAGCGAUGCUGAAGUAAUCACCUCCUAAAAAUCGUACCAAGGAUUCCAUUAGUGUUGCUGUUGUGGGCGAAGUUUCUCUUCCGUUUGAAAUUCAAUAGCAAUUUAUUUUCUGAAAAUCAUAGCUUACAGAAUCAUCAGCCCAAAGUUGAGUAAAUCAAUCAAAUGUAGUAGCAAUUAUUUUCUGAAAUGAUAACAGAAAAAUUUUAUCCUCUUUUACGUGUUUU
RNAcentral lists this long non-coding RNA (333 nucleotides) under Nicotiana benthamiana. RNAcentral's name for it is "long non-coding RNA (NBEN_LNC033836)". The record is from RNAcentral. Lineage: Eukaryota; Viridiplantae; Streptophyta; Magnoliopsida; Solanales; Solanaceae.